This 460-nucleotide ribosomal RNA is filed under the name uncultured bacterium. RNAcentral's name for it is "partial 16S ribosomal RNA". It matches the Rfam family "Bacterial small subunit ribosomal RNA", at positions 338 to 795 of the family's 1533-position model. The record is from RNAcentral.
CCUACGGGAGGCAGCAGUGAGGAAUAUUGGUCAAUGGACGAGAGUCUGAACCAGCCAAGCAGCGUGAAGGAUGACUGCCCUCUGGGUUUUAAACUUCUUUUAUAUGGGAGUAAAAUGUUCCACGUGUGGGAUUUUGUAUGUACCAUAUGAAUAAGGAUCGGCUAACUCCGUGCCAGCAGCCGCGGUAAUACGGAGGGUCCUAGCGUUAUCCGGAUUUAUUGGGUUUAAAGGGAGCGUAGGUGGAUUGUUAAGUCAGUUGUGAAAGUUUGCGGCUCAACCGUAAAAUUGCAGUUGAAACUGGCAGUCUUGAGUACAGUAGAGGUGGGCGGAAUUCGUGGUGUAGCGGUGAAAUGCUUAGAUAUCACGAAGAACUCCGAUUGCGAAGGCAGCUCACUGGACUGCAAAUGACACUGAGGCUCGAAAGUGUGGGUAGCAAACAGGAUUAGAUACCCCAGUAGUC